RNAcentral lists this ribosomal RNA (425 nucleotides) under uncultured bacterium. RNAcentral describes it as "partial 16S ribosomal RNA". It matches the Rfam family "Bacterial small subunit ribosomal RNA", at positions 354 to 796 of the family's 1533-position model. The record is from RNAcentral.
GUGGGGAAUAUUGGACAAUGGGCGCAAGCCUGAUCCAGCCAUGCCGCGUGAGUGAUGAAGGCCCUAGGGUUGUAAAGCUCUUUCACCGGUGAAGAUAAUGACGGUAACCGGAGAAGAAGCCCCGGCUAACUUCGUGCCAGCAGCCGCGGUAAUACGAAGGGGGCUAGCGUUGUUCGGAAUUACUGGGCGUAAAGCGCACGUAGGCGGACAUUUAAGUCAGGGGUGAAAUCCCAGAGCUCAACUCUGGAACUGCCUUUGAUACUGGGUGUCUUGAGUAUGGAAGAGGUAAGUGGAAUUCCGAGUGUAGAGGUGAAAUUCGUAGAUAUUCGGAGGAACACCAGUGGCGAAGGCGGCUUACUGGUCCAUUACUGACGCUGAGGUGCGAAAGCGUGGGGAGCAAACAGGAUUAGAUACCCGGGUAGACC